AGAGCGAACGCUGGCGGCAGGCUUAACACAUGCAAGUCGAACGGAUCCUUCGGGAUUAGUGGCGGACGGGUGAGUAACACGUGGGAACGUGCCUUUAGGUUCGGAACAACACAGGGAAACUUGUGCUAAUACCGGAUGUGCCCUUCGGGGGAAAGAUUUAUCGCCUUUAGAGCGGCCCGCGUCUGAUUAGCUUGUUGGUGAGGUAAAGGCUCACCAAGGCUACGAUCAGUAGCUGGUCUGAGAGGAUGGCCAGCCACAUUGGGACUGAGACACGGCCCAAACUCCUACGGGAGGCAGCAGUGGGGAAUCUUGCGCAAUGGGGGAAACCCUGACGCAGCCAUGCCGCGUGGAUGAUGAAGGUCUUAGGAUUGUAAAAUCCUUUCAGCGGGACGAUAAUGACGGUACCCGCAGAAGAAGCCCCGGCUAACUUCGCGCCAGCAGCCGC
This 445-nucleotide ribosomal RNA is filed under the name uncultured bacterium. RNAcentral's name for it is "SSU rRNA". It matches the Rfam family "Bacterial small subunit ribosomal RNA", at positions 26 to 518 of the family's 1533-position model. The record is from RNAcentral.